RNAcentral lists this ribosomal RNA (253 nucleotides) under uncultured bacterium. RNAcentral's name for it is "partial 16S ribosomal RNA". It matches the Rfam family "Bacterial small subunit ribosomal RNA", at positions 524 to 776 of the family's 1533-position model. The record is from RNAcentral.
UACGUAGGGUGCGAGCGUUAAUCGGAAUUACUGGGCGUAACGUGUUCGCAGGCGGUUCGCCAAUUCCUGUUUGAAAUCCCCGGGCUCAACCUGGGAAUUGCGCUUGAAACUAGCGAGCUUGAGUGUGGCAGAGGGGGGUGGAAUUCCACGUGUAGCAGUGAAAUGCGUAGAUAUGUGGAGGAACACCGAUGGCGAAGGCAGCCCCCUGGGUCAACACUGACGCUCAUGCACGAAAGCGUGGGUAGCAAACAGG